UACGUAGGGAGCAAGCGUUGUCCGGAAUCAUUGGGCGUAAAGGGCGCGUAGGCGGCCUGAUAAGUCGGGGGUGAAAUUCUGCGGCUUAACCGCAGGACGGCCUUCGAGACUGUCGGGCUCGAGUACGGUAGAGGCUGGUGGAAUUCCCGGUGUAGCGGUGGAAUGCGUAGAGAUCGGGAAGAACAUCGGUGGCGAAGGCGGCCAGCUGGGCCGUUGCUGACGCUGAGGCGCGACAGCGUGGGGAGCAAACAGG
Molecule: ribosomal RNA, 253 nt
Filed under: uncultured bacterium
Lineage: Bacteria
Description: partial 16S ribosomal RNA
Rfam family: Bacterial small subunit ribosomal RNA
Source: RNAcentral